UCCCUGAUGGUCUAGUGGCUAGGAUUCGGCGCUCUCACCGCCCCGGUCGGCCCGGGUUCGAUUCCCGGUCAGGGAA
Non-coding RNA from Anoplopoma fimbria (sablefish), 76 nucleotides. The record is from the annotation of a RefSeq genome assembly. Lineage: Eukaryota; Metazoa; Chordata; Actinopteri; Perciformes; Anoplopomatidae.